This 769-nucleotide ribosomal RNA is filed under the name uncultured organism. RNAcentral describes it as "bacterial SSU rRNA". It matches the Rfam family "Bacterial small subunit ribosomal RNA", at positions 685 to 1450 of the family's 1533-position model. The record is from RNAcentral.
AAUGCGUAGAUAUCUGGAAGUACACCAGUACCGAAGCCGGUCUCCUGGCCCAAUACUGACGCUGAGGCUCGAAAGCAUGGGGAGCGAACAGGAUUAGAUACCCUGAUAGUCCACGCCGUAAACGAUGGACACUAGAUGUUGGCCUCUUCGGGGUUCGGUGUCGUAGCUAACGCGUUAAGUGUCCCGCCUGGGAAGUACGCUCGCAAGUGUGAAACUCAAAGGAAUUGACGGGGGCCCGCACAAGCGCUGGAGCAUGUGCUUUAAUUCGAUGCAACGCGAAGAACCUUACCUGGACUUGACAUGGGGCUGAAAGUUUUCAGAGAUGAAAACCCUUCCUUCGGGAACGCCCUACACAGGUGCUGCAUGGUCGUCGUCAGCUCGUGUCGUGAGAUGUUGGGUUAAGUCCCGCAACGAGCGCAACCCUUGUCCAUAGUUGCCAACGGGUCAUGCCGGGAACUCUAGGGAGACUGCCUGGUACAACCAGGAGGAAGAUGGGGAUGACGUCAAAUCAUCAUGGCCCUUACGUCCAGGGCUAGACACGUGCUACAAUGGCCAGUACAGAGGGCUGCAAGACUGCGAAGUCAUAGCCAAUCCCUGUAACCGGUCUCAGUUCGGAUUGGAGUCUGCAAUUCGACUCCAUGAAGGUGGAUCGCUAGUAAUCGCGGAUCAGCAUGCCACGUGUAUACGUUCCCGGGCAUUGUACACACCGCCCGUCAAGCCACGAAAGAUGCCAGUGCCCGAAGUCGCUACUCUAACCCUCACGGGAGGA